GACGUAGGAUGCAAGCGUUGUCCGGAUUUAUUGGGCGUAAAGAGUUCGUAGGUGGUUCGUUAAGUCUGAUGUUAAAGACCGGGGCUCAACUUCGGGACUGCAUUGGAUACUGGCGGACUUGAGUGUGGUAGAGGCAAUCGGAAUUCCAGGUGUAGCGGUGAAAUGCGUAGAUAUCUGGAAGAACACCGGUGGCGCAAGCGGAUUGCUGGGCCAUAACUGACACUGAGGAACGAAAGCUAGGGGAGCAAACAGG
Molecule: ribosomal RNA, 253 nt
Filed under: uncultured bacterium
Lineage: Bacteria
Description: partial 16S ribosomal RNA
Rfam family: Bacterial small subunit ribosomal RNA
Source: RNAcentral